UGUUGCUCAUUCAUCUGUUUAUGAUUGCCACCCCACAGCGGGCAGAGCUCAUAAAAUCCGAAUGACGCACCAAACGGAGCCUGUCGUCCACCCAACCGAUAAUCGUAUGUUCUGCAUCGUUAUCAAGCAUCGGACGCAACGUUGAGUUAGGCUCCACCCA
This is a small RNA of Pantoea ananatis LMG 20103, 160 nucleotides long. It matches the Rfam family "Glm Y RNA activator of glmS mRNA". Rfam says of the family: This family consists of a number of bacterial RNA genes of around 167 bases in length. The function of this RNA is unknown. The record is from Rfam. Lineage: Bacteria; Pseudomonadati; Pseudomonadota; Gammaproteobacteria; Enterobacterales; Erwiniaceae.